AUGCCAAAUUAACUCAUAAUAUAAAUCAUGAUUCCUAAGUCAUAAAUUAAAAAUUACACCAAAAUCAAAAAUGGAUUAAAAAAAGAAAAAGAAAAGAGAACGACAGAACAAUGAAGGAGAAAGACGCUCACUACUCACUAGUCACUGCUCACGAGUCACGGGAGGUCCGACCGUCCAGUCCAGAGUCUGUCGAUGGCCAGGCAAGCUGUAACAGGAGGUGGAGGCGUCAAGCGUGGAAGUUGGAAUGGGAUGAGAUUUGAAACCAGCAGCGUAUGUUUUUUCAAUUGAUCUGAUGCCUUCAAAUUGGUUUUGUUAUAUAUGGAUCAUUGGAUAAUUUGAAUUGGACCUAGUUAUUUAAUAAGAAAGGCCCACAACCCAAACUAUAAAAAAAAAAACAAAAAACAAAAAACAAAAAACGAACAGAAACCCAAACCUCGCCGGUCACCUUCUUCCUUCCACUGUUCCGACGGAGCCCAGCACGAGCGGCCGCGCCCCCUCGCUGGGUGCUGGAUCCGCCGCUGACUAAAUUAAUGAAAAAUAAGCCUUGUUUAACCUUUCCCUACCAUCACACGAGUAUCAUGUGAUUAUUUAACAUGUAGAUAAAAUUUUUUAUUAGUUGGGGAUUUGGGUGCCACAUUUGCAAAAGGUUG
RNAcentral lists this long non-coding RNA (650 nucleotides) under Olea europaea subsp. europaea. Lineage: Eukaryota; Viridiplantae; Streptophyta; Magnoliopsida; Lamiales; Oleaceae. The record is from RNAcentral.